UACAGAGGGUGCAAGCGUUAAUCGGAGUUACUGGGCGUAAAGGGCGUGUAGGCGGAAAGACAAGUUAGAUGUGAAAGGCCUGGGCUUAACCUGGGAAAGUCAUUUAAGACUGUUUUUCUAGAGUAGAGUAGAGGUAAGCGGAAUUUCCGGUGUAGCGGUGAAAUGCGUAGAUAUCGGAAGGAACACCAGUGGCGAAGGCGGCUUACUGGCCUCAUACUGACGCUGAGGCGCGAAAGCGUGGGUAGCGAACAGG
Molecule: unclassified non-coding RNA, 253 nt
Filed under: uncultured Gammaproteobacteria bacterium
Lineage: Bacteria; Pseudomonadati; Pseudomonadota; Gammaproteobacteria
Description: contains 16S-23S intergenic spacer region
Rfam family: Bacterial small subunit ribosomal RNA
Source: RNAcentral